GACGAACGCUGGCGGCGUGCUUAACACAUGCAAGUCGAACGGAAAGGCCCUGCUUUUGUGGGGUGCUCGAGUGGCGAACGGGUGAGUAACACGUGAGUAACCUGCCCUUGACUUUGGAUAACUUCAGGAAACUGGGGCUAAUACCGGAUAGGAGCUCCUGCUGCAUGGGGGGGGGUGGAAAGUUUCGGCGGUUGGGGAUGGACUCGCGGCUUAUCAGCUUGUUGGUGGGGUAGUGGCUUACCAAGGCUUUGACGGGUAGCCGGCCUGAGAGGGUGACCGGCCACAUUGGGACUGAGAUACGGCCCAGACUCCUACGGGAGGCAGCAGUGGGGAAUAUUGCACAAUGGGCGGAAGCCUGAUGCAGCAACGCCGCGUGCGGGAUGACGGCCUUCGGGUUGUAAACCGCUUUCGCCUGUGACGAAGCGUGAGUGACGGUAAUGGGUAAAGAAGCACCGGCUAACUACGUG
RNAcentral lists this ribosomal RNA (467 nucleotides) under uncultured bacterium. RNAcentral describes it as "partial 16S ribosomal RNA". It matches the Rfam family "Bacterial small subunit ribosomal RNA", at positions 28 to 507 of the family's 1533-position model. The record is from RNAcentral.